This 93-nucleotide microRNA precursor is filed under the name Mustela putorius furo (domestic ferret). RNAcentral's name for it is "miRNA (ENSMPUG00000021633.1)". The record is from RNAcentral. Lineage: Eukaryota; Metazoa; Chordata; Mammalia; Carnivora; Mustelidae.
CAUGUGCGUGCAGGUGUUUAGGUGUGUGCAUGCAGGUGCAUGCACAUGAACACACACACACACACACACACACACACAAACACACACACACAU